GGAUAUAAGUCCAUGUAUUGGCAUUCUGUUUCCUUUUGUUUUUGUUGUUAGGAGUCGGAUAUAAGUCCAUGUAUUGGCAUUUUGUUUCCUUGUUUGUUAUUGUUAGGAGUCGGGCGUAAGUCCAUGUAUUGGCAUUCUGUUUCCUUUUGAGUGUUUCUUUUGAUGUCUCAGCGUCUCUUUUGUGGUGUCUUGUUCCAGCGUGCGUUAGCCGAGCUACGAGUGCUCUGAUUCUCCUCUGGAUAGAGAAGAUACAUAGGCAUAAGACGCCAUGUCUUAG
This 277-nucleotide long non-coding RNA is filed under the name Lathyrus oleraceus (garden pea). Its description in RNAcentral is "Pisum sativum (pea) long non-coding RNA (PSAT_LNC026007)". The record is from RNAcentral. Lineage: Eukaryota; Viridiplantae; Streptophyta; Magnoliopsida; Fabales; Fabaceae.